GGCAAACGGGUGCGGAACACGUACGCAACCUUCCCAAAACUGGUGAAUAGCCCUCCGAAAGGAGGAUUAAUACACCGUAACAUAAUGAGGUGGCAUCACUUUAUUAUUAUAGCUCCGGCGGUUUUGGAUGGGCGUGCGCCUGAUUAGGUAGUUGGCGGGGUAACGGCCCACCAAGCCUGCGAUCAGUAACUGGUGUGAGAGCACGACCAGUCACACGGGCACUGAGACACGGGCCCGACUCCUACGGGAGGCAGCAGUAAGGAAUAUUGGUCAAUGGACGCAAGUCUGGAACCNAGCCCAUGACCAGGCGUGAAGGGAUUGAAGGCCCUCUGGGUUGUAAACUUCUUUUAUCUGGGACGAAAAAAGAUCAUUCCUGAUCACUUGCACGGUACCAGAGGACAUAAGCACCGGCUAACUCCGUGCCAGC
RNAcentral lists this ribosomal RNA (427 nucleotides) under uncultured bacterium. RNAcentral describes it as "bacterial SSU rRNA". It matches the Rfam family "Bacterial small subunit ribosomal RNA", at positions 97 to 512 of the family's 1533-position model. The record is from RNAcentral.